GACAAGCUGCAUCGCGCGCGCCGCCUGCUUCGUUCUAUCCUUGCAAUGGGCAUUUCUCAAUCCACCUCACACCUGAACUACUGCAUGCUCGAUAAUAUUUUUCCUUCUCGGCAAGCUGCCACAGGAUGCGCUCGCUCUAAUUAUAUCCCUCCUCCUCCUCCUCCUCCAUCUGCAAUAUUGCACUGCUUGCCGCCGUAGCUGCUACAGCGUACAACCAUUUUAACUCCAAACUAACCGCCCCUAACGAGUUCCCUCCCCUGCAACAACCCCUGGAAGUUUGGAACUGGGGAAGGCAAAACGCGCGACUUGACUCUUUAGAGUUGAACUACUCGUACUAGUCAA
This 342-nucleotide small RNA is filed under the name Histoplasma ohiense. Its description in RNAcentral is "hypothetical lncRNA". The record is from RNAcentral. Lineage: Eukaryota; Fungi; Ascomycota; Eurotiomycetes; Onygenales; Ajellomycetaceae.